RNAcentral lists this ribosomal RNA (794 nucleotides) under fungal endophyte. RNAcentral's name for it is "eukaryotic LSU rRNA". The stretch from base 499 to 794 matches the Rfam family "Eukaryotic large subunit ribosomal RNA", at positions 1 to 299 of the family's 3401-position model. Lineage: Eukaryota; Fungi. The record is from RNAcentral.
CAUUAAAGAGUUCUAUAACUCCCAAACCCAUGUGAACAUACCUAACGUUGCCUCGGCAGGUCGCACCUACCUUGUAGCACCCUACCCUGUAGGGCCUACCCGGGAGGUGCGGGUAAGCCUGCCGGCGGCCCACCAAACUCUGUUUGAUAUUGAAUUCUGAACCUAUAACUAAAUAAGUUAAAACUUUCAACAACGGAUCUCUUGGUUCUGGCAUCGAUGAAGAACGCAGCGAAAUGCGAUAAGUAAUGUGAAUUGCAGAAUUCAGUGAAUCAUCGAAUCUUUGAACGCAUAUUGCGCCCAUUAGUAUUCUAGUGGGCAGGACCGUUCGAGCGUCAUUUCAACCCUUAAGCCUUCGUUGCUCAGUGUUGGGAGCCUACGGCAACGUAGCUCCUCAAAGUUAGUGGCGGAGUUGGUUCACACUCUAGACGUAGUAAUUUUUUAUCUCGCCUAUUAGUUGGACUAAUCCCCUGCCGUAAAACCCCCAAUUUAUAUCAAGGUUGACCUCGAAUCGGUUCAGACAAACUCGCUAAAUUGAAGCAUCUUAGUCAGCGAAGGAAAAGAAACCAACAGGGAUUGCCCUAGUAACGGCGAGUGAAGCGGCAGCAGCUCAAAUUUGAAAUCUGGCCCUCGGGUCCGAGUUGUAAUUUGUAGAGGAUGCUUUUGGCGCGGUGCCUUCCGAGUUCCCUGGAACGGGACGCCUUAGAGGGUGAGAGCCCCGUACGGUUGGACACCAAGCCUCUGUAAAGCUCCUUCGACGAGUCGAGUAGCUUGGGAAUGCUGCUCUAAAUGGGAGG